CAUUGUUAUUAUUAUAUUUCGCAGAAGCAGACAUACAUACCAUAUAUCUACCACUAACAGACAAGCAGACAAACACAGCAGAUUUGGGAAGAAAUGAAAAUAUCCAUCUACUUAGAGAUGAACACACACCAGAUUUGUUCAAGAAUGAAAAGCUCCUCCUGUGGUUAAUCAUUUCAUUAAUUUACUUUCAGUUCUAUAUGCUAUCAUCUUGUUUUACUUCAGG
Non-coding RNA from Pelobates cultripes (western spadefoot toad), 223 nucleotides. Lineage: Eukaryota; Metazoa; Chordata; Amphibia; Anura; Pelobatidae. The record is from the annotation of a GenBank genome assembly.